GCUAGUAAUCGCAGAUCAGCAUGCUGCGGUGAAUACGUUCCCGGGCCUUGUACACACCGCCCGUCACACCAUGGGAGUCGGUAACACCCAAAGUUGGUAGCCUAACCGCAAGGAGGGCGCCGCCUAAGGUGGGAUUGAUGACUGGGGUGAAGUCGUAACAAGGUACC
RNAcentral lists this ribosomal RNA (167 nucleotides) under uncultured bacterium. RNAcentral describes it as "partial 16S ribosomal RNA". It matches the Rfam family "Bacterial small subunit ribosomal RNA", at positions 1334 to 1500 of the family's 1533-position model. The record is from RNAcentral.